Molecule: long non-coding RNA, 1270 nt
Filed under: Papio anubis (olive baboon)
Lineage: Eukaryota; Metazoa; Chordata; Mammalia; Primates; Cercopithecidae
Description: lncRNA (ENSPANG00000041309.1)
Source: RNAcentral
AUGCUAUUCUCUUUCAAAGAGCUUCUUGCCCAUUAUGCCCAUGUUUUUACUUUGAGGACUGAAUAUUCAUUCCACUUGAAAAUAAAGCUUGACUAUAAUUUUAUUUUAUGUCUUUUUUAUUUCUGUUUCAUUUCUCCAAGAUUUUGAGUUCGUCUUUGUUUUCUGAAGUUUGCUUAUGAUAUUCCUAUAUGUGGAUUUGUUGAUAUUUAUUGUAGUGGGUGGUCUUUGAGUUUUGUGGACCUGUGUUUUAUAAUUGUUUCACAGUUUUUGAGUAUUCUAUUUCAUCUUUUCAUCUUGUUUUUUUCUCUUUCUUACUUUUGGAAGGUUUUUUUUUUUUCUUCUAUUUUUGGAAGUUUCUAUUGACAUAUCUUCAAGCAUACUGAUUCUUUUCUCAGCUUCUCAGCUGUGUCCUGUCUGCUGAUGAGCCUGUCAAAGACAUUUUUCAUGUCUGUUACAGUAUUUUUUAUUUUUAGCAUUUCAUUUUGAUUCUUUCUUAGGAUUUCCAUGUUUCUGCUUGUAUUAUCCCUGCCUCUGUUCUUGCAUAUGUUCCCUUUUCCAUUAAAGCUCUUACUUAUCAUAUUAAUAGUUUUAUUUUACUAAUUUUUUUUGUAGAGAUAAAGUCUUGCUAUGUUGCCCAGGGCAGUCUCUAAUUACUGGUCUCAAACAAUCCUCCUGCCUUGACCUCCUAAAGCACUGGGAUUACAGGCAUGAGCCACUGUACCUGGCCUAAUCAUACCUAUUUAACUUUUGUUUCAGAGAAAUCGUGUUGAUUACCCCAAAUAUUACCAUUUAAAACUUAUUAUUAUAUUUUUUCAUUUUUAAUUUUUGUGGGUACAUAGUAGGUAUAUAUAUUUAUGGGGUACAUGGGAUAUUGUGACACAGGCUUCAAUGUGUAAUAAUCACAUCAGGGUAAAUGGGGUAUUCAUCACCUCAAGCAUUUUUCUUUUGUGUUAAAAACAAUCCAAUUAUACUCUGUUAGUUAUUUUUAAAUGUACAAUAAGGUAUUGUUGACUAUAGUCACCCUGUUGUGAUACCAAACACUAGUUCUUAUUCAUUUUAGCUAUAUUUUUGUACACACUAACCACCCCCACUCCCCAACCCUGCAAACUACCCUUCCCAGAUACUGGUAACCAUCAUUCUACUCUAUAUCUCUAUGAGUUUAAUUGCUUUAAAUUUUUUUUUAGCUCCCACAAAUAAGUGAUAACAUGCAAAAUAUGUCUUUCUGUGCUAUUUCACUUAACAUAAUGACCUCCAGUUUCAUCUAUGUUGU